Molecule: non-coding RNA, 241 nt
Organism: Salmo salar (Atlantic salmon)
Lineage: Eukaryota; Metazoa; Chordata; Actinopteri; Salmoniformes; Salmonidae
Source: RefSeq, a predicted model, not a curated record
GGCCGGACCAUUAUACAGAAGAUACUCAACAUGGGCGGCGCCAUGGACUUCAACAUCUGCAAACCAGAUGUCCUAACUAAAGAAGAGUUCUUAAUGAGACAGAGGAUUGAGCCCAUCAUCUCCUCCAGAGAGAUAAACGCCAACACCUACGAGGUUGUCUCUCCGGAGAACAUCGAGGCUGUAGCUGCGAAGGGUAAACACUGCUUGAUGGAGGCUGACGUGAGCUGUGUUAAUAGUAUUU